UCUCAUGACCUUUCUAGUCUUUAAUGCUUCCUGACUGGUAUGCCAAGGGCGAACGCUGCAGACAGAACGAGAUGCUGCUUCAGCAGCCUUGGGGGCUGGUGAGGCGGGGGGCCUGGGGAGCCGAGCACGAAUUGCUGUGUGUGCCACGGUAUGGCCACAGAGCGAACUCUUUUUGUUUCUUUGCAGUUAUAUGUCAGUACACUCACUCUCUUCAGACACACCAGAAGAGGGAUCCCUUUAGAGAUGGCUGUGAGCCACCAUGUGGUUGCUGGGAAUUGAACUCAGGACCUCUGGAAGAGCAGUCAGUGCUCUAACCGCUGAGCCAUCUCUACAGCUGUGUACCCACCUCCCCUUUAAUUACUGGGGUUUGAACUUGUAGCCUCAUUCCCUGGUCAGGGUCUUUUGGAGAACUGGACUUUUGUGGUUUUGUGGUAGAGUUUGGGGUUUCAGCCUAGCAUAUUUCCAGAAGAGUAUCAGUCUCUAGCAAGGAUGUGUGUUAGCAGCAGCAGGUAUCCCAGAGGCCUCAGCUACCGUAGUAGUGCUUCAAAAAGAAAAAAGGCAGUGUCCGAGAAACCAGGCCAAAAAAAAAAAACCCAA
This 597-nucleotide long non-coding RNA is filed under the name Rattus norvegicus (Norway rat). RNAcentral's name for it is "long non-coding RNA NONRATT024019". The record is from RNAcentral. Lineage: Eukaryota; Metazoa; Chordata; Mammalia; Rodentia; Muridae.